Molecule: ribosomal RNA, 259 nt
Filed under: uncultured Planctomycetota bacterium
Lineage: Bacteria; Pseudomonadati; Planctomycetota
Description: uncultured planctomycete partial 16S ribosomal RNA
Rfam family: Bacterial small subunit ribosomal RNA
Source: RNAcentral
AAGCGGUGGAGGAUGUGGCUUAAUUCGAGGCUACGCGAAGAACCUUAUCCUAGUCUUGACAUGCUUAGGAACCCUCUCGAAAGAGAGGGGUGCCCGCAAGGGAGCCUUUGCACAGGUGCUGCAUGGCUGUCGUCAGCUCGUGUCGUGAGAUGUCGGGUUAAGUCCCUUAACGAGCGAAACCCUUGUCCUUAGUUACCAGCGGGUCAUGCCGGGAACUCUAAGGAGACUGCCGGUGUUAAACCGGAGGAAGGUGGGGAUG